CGUAGUUGGAUUUCUGGUAGGAGCGACCGUGCCGAACUUGAUUGUUCGUGUAUUGUGUUGUCUUCAGCCAUCCUCGUGGAGAACUUUUCUAACAUUAACUUGUUGGGAUUGGGACCCGCGUCGUUUACUGUGAAAAAAUUAGAGUGUUUAAAGCAGGCAUUAGCUUGAAUACAUUAGCAUGGAAUAAUAAGAUAGGACUUUGGUACUAUUUUGUUGGUUUGCAUACCAAAUUAAUGA
This 237-nucleotide ribosomal RNA is filed under the name uncultured eukaryote. RNAcentral describes it as "partial 18S ribosomal RNA". It matches the Rfam family "Eukaryotic small subunit ribosomal RNA", at positions 629 to 868 of the family's 1831-position model. The record is from RNAcentral.